UGCGCGGUCCCGGUGCAGCCUGCUCUGCCUCGGGCCGCAGGGGACCCCAGCCGGGUCCCACUGCUCCCAUCCUAGCGGAUGGGCCCCGGCCUCACUCUCUCGCGCCGAGCCCCCUUCUUGCCGGGAAGUUCGUCCGAGAGUCUAAUCUCGGUGCCUUCCAGCUGCGCCACAGAGGCGGGGUCGGAGUAGGAGGCGGCCCUGAAAUGGGGAAGCUGGGCGCGCCCACUCCCCAACUAGCUGCAGAAAUGCUUCCACCUGCUCCCCUGAGCGACCCCAGCUGAGAGACCGAACCCCCGUACCCCAGCCGCGCUCACCACCCCCACCCUCUGGCCUGAGCUGCUUUGAUCUGAGGGUCACCUCGGCUGAAUGACAACAACGGAGCCUGGAGGAAACCUGGAGUUUGCAGGGCAAGAGAGACCAAGCACCAUCACUGAGCAGGUGCACCAUCUGGGCAGGUGAACAUCUCUGCCUGCAGUGCCUCUCCGGCCCCACCUCACGCCCCGCCGAUACUCAGCCGCCAGAUGGAGACGGACAGCAAAGACGAAGUCUCUUUGCCGCCUGGCUCAGCAAAGAGACUCAACGUUUUCUUUUCCAUUUCGGAAAGAUUACUGGAAGUCUGGACGAGUAAAGAGAGAUGAAACAGG
Leopardus geoffroyi (Geoffroy's cat) is the source of this 644-nucleotide long non-coding RNA. RefSeq lists it as uncharacterized. Lineage: Eukaryota; Metazoa; Chordata; Mammalia; Carnivora; Felidae. The record is from RefSeq and is a predicted model, not a curated record. The transcript has 2 exons.